AAAAGCUCUUCGCGGUGCCUCCUAAACGCCGAGUGCAGAGGGUCUCAAGCAUGAGAGCGAAGGACGGAUUUCAUGAAGGUGGGUACAAGUGCAGAAUAAUGAGAAAGUGGCAAGCUUUAAGAAUCGGGAAGCGUAUCCAAAAGGAAGCAGGCAACAGUGACAGUGGUGGCUGUGAAACAGGAAUAUAUAUGUUUGCUGCAUCUUCAUUAUUCUAAACAUGGGCGCUAUCCUACCUGAGCUUUCUCUUCUUGAUGUGAUUUCUACUACGUGCAUGUUCUUCUUGACCUUGUAAGACCUUUUCUUGACCUUGUAAGACCCAGUCCUCUCUCCCCUCCAUCUGCGCUUGCUGCUCCCGAGGACCCUAUCUCACAAUCUGAUGAUAUGGAGUUCCAUCUCUGCCUCCCCCCCUCGCCCCUCAAUUCUCCUUCUCCUUCUCUGUCUAUCCCUCCUGAGCUGUACUUACUUACCUAUAUAUGAGCCUAGCCAGCUACUCCUCCACCGUAAGCAUGGGCAUGCCACGCCCAGGCGUUCCUUUCUUUCCGUUGUUUCUCUUGCAAAUCUGCGGGCCUGGCUAGCUACAGAGUUCAAGUAAGAGCAGAGAUGAAAAAAUGAAGGCCUGCAGCUUGACUGAAACUAGAAAUACUGAUGGAUAUAUGAUGAUGAUAUUGGAAGGGGUGUUUGGAUUGCAUAGGGAGUUCAAAUAAGGACCAUUUGUGUGAAUGUGAAUAUCAAGGCAGUGAAUUUUGGCAUUGUAUGAGAAUAGAGAGAUGAGAGUGCAGAAUAUUGAAGAGAUCUUUCUUUGCAGGCACGCAGGCAGGCUGCCUUCAGUUUGAUUUCCUUGUCUGUAUUAUGUGUAUUUGUGUUGGGCGGUCGAGACAGUGAGUGCGCAAUGCAACAUCCAUCCAUCCAUCCAUCA
Long non-coding RNA from Neltuma alba, 916 nucleotides. RefSeq lists it as uncharacterized. The transcript is spliced from 2 exons. The record is from RefSeq and is a predicted model, not a curated record. NCBI's taxonomy places the organism in Eukaryota, Viridiplantae, Streptophyta, Magnoliopsida, Fabales, Fabaceae.